Long non-coding RNA from Cuculus canorus (common cuckoo), 1274 nucleotides. RefSeq lists it as uncharacterized. The record is from RefSeq and is a predicted model, not a curated record. The transcript is spliced from 3 exons. Lineage: Eukaryota; Metazoa; Chordata; Aves; Cuculiformes; Cuculidae.
CCUCCAUCCAGCGUGUAGCUCUGUGCCUGGGGAUUUGAGUGCAACAGCUUCAGUGGGACCAGGAGUCUUGUGAGCCUGCAUGUGUCUGGUGGGAGGAACUAGAAAGAACAGAGCAUGUGUGCAUUGUGUGCAGGAGAUUCUGCUGAGAGUUCUUAUCUCAUUUCACAGUUAUUAAAGCUCUGAUCAUCAAUUGUGUUUAUUGUAUGUAUUGGAGCUGAUUGUCCUAUGAUGAUCAGCAAUGGCACAGAGCAGUGAGCAAUGAACAGGCUGAUCUGCCCACUGGACUCACUGGGUGGAGAUGAAGAACAGACACAACCUCUGGCAUUUAGCUUCUAAUCAAGCUGGGCCAGGGCUAGACUGGGAUGAAAACAUGGGAUUUUGAAUUAUGUAAACAACAUAAUAAUAUGAUCAUGAGUGCUGUCAGUUUUGAUGUAAAUGUGCAUCAUUUUGGGUAAUCUAUAUCAGUUAUUCUAUUGCAUGUAUUAAAAUCCUUUAGGAAAUAUUUGGGAGAUAGUAUAAAAUUAAUAUUCAGUAUGAAAGGAUUGUUCAAAGAGAUGAUUUGUUUUAGUUUUCUGUAUGUUUUUCUUCACGUAUUGUUUAUUGAUUUGUUGUCUUGCUUAGCUUUAAGGUUUUUAGGUUUAAGGAAUAGAGCUAAGUUGUAAAUAUGGUCAUAUGUAAAGCCUGAAGAAGAUCUUGCUGCAUAACUUUGUCCUGCACUUUAAUGGAAAACAAAUGCUGAUUUUAUAAUAAAGAAUAUUAACAUGUGAAUCAACUUCUGUUAUAUGACAAUAGUUUCACAGCAAUCAGAAAAAAAUUCAAUGAGAGUGAUGGGUUGACUCAAACCGAGUCUGAUUGCCAGUAGUAUGGAGGCAGUGAAGUGGCAACAGGACUCCAGCACUGAGCCCAGGACUCCAGAACUGAACGCAGUACUCCAGGUGAGGCGUUCAGUCCCAGAUGGCUUUCUGGGCUGCAAGCACACAUUACUAGGUCAUGUUGAGCUUCUCAUCCACCAGCAACCUGAUAUCCUUCUCUUCAGGGCUACUCUCAAUUGAUUUUCUGCCCAGUCUGUAUCUGUGUUUGGGAUCACCUCAACACAAGAGCAGACCUCGCACUUGGCCUUGUUGAGCUUCAUGAGGUUCUCACAGGCCCAUUUAUUCAUGUUAAAAGUUUCAGACCUGAUUUUUGACUAGUAUGGGAUUACUUCUGGCAAAUUCUAAGCUCCUCUUAAGAGCUCCUGAAAACCCCAAGUUCCCACUGAGAUAUAUAUGAGUUGA